Molecule: ribosomal RNA, 563 nt
Filed under: Bacillus subtilis
Lineage: Bacteria; Bacillati; Bacillota; Bacilli; Caryophanales; Bacillaceae
Description: bacterial SSU rRNA
Rfam family: Bacterial small subunit ribosomal RNA
Source: RNAcentral
GUCGAGCGAUGAUGAAGAAGCUUGCUUCUUCUGAUUUAGCGGCGGACGGGUGAGUAACACGUGGGCAACCUACCUAGUAGAUUGGGAUAACUCCGGGAAACCGGGGCUAAUACCGAAUAAUCCAUUUUGUCACAUGGCAAAAUGCUGAAAGGCGGUUUCGGCUGUCACUACUAGAUGGGCCCGCGGUGCAUUAGCUAGUUGGUGGGGUAAUGGCCUACCAAGGCAACGAUGCAUAGCCGACCUGAGAGGGUGAUCGGCCACAUUGGGACUGAGACACGGCCCAAACUCCUACGGGAGGCAGCAGUAGGGAAUCUUCCACAAUGGACGAAAGUCUGAUGGAGCAACGCCGCGUGAGUGAUGAAGGUUUUCGGAUCGUAAAACUCUGUUGUAAGGGAAGAACAAGUACGUUAGUAACUGAACGUACCUUGACGGUACCUUAUUAGAAAGCCACGGCUAACUACGUGCCAGCAGCCGCGGUAAUACGUAGGUGGCAAGCGUUGUCCGGAUUUAUUGGGCGUAAAGCGCGCGCAGGUGGUUUCUUAAGUCUGAUGUGAAAGCCCACG